GUGCCAGCAGCCGCGGUAAUACGUAGGUGGCAAGCGUUAUCCGGAAUUAUUGGGCGUAAAGCGCGCGCAGGCGGUCCUUUAAGUCUGAUGUGAAAGCCCCCGGCUCAACCGGGGAGGGUCAUUGGAAACUGGGGGACUUGAGUGCAGAAGAGAAGGGCGGAAUUCCACGUGUAGCGGUGAAAUGCGUAGAGAUGUGGAGGAACACCAGUGGCGAAGGCGGCUCUUUGGUCUGUAACUGACGCUGAGGCGCGAAAGCGUGGGGAGCGAACAGGAUUAGAUACCCUGGUAGUCC
Molecule: ribosomal RNA, 292 nt
Filed under: uncultured microorganism
Description: partial 16S ribosomal RNA
Rfam family: Bacterial small subunit ribosomal RNA
Source: RNAcentral